GGAGUGCAUUGGGCAGUCGCCGGAGAGUUGUAUUUAUACAACUUACGGAGGAACGUCCGAACUCGAUAUCAAAAGAAAUGUAUGCCGGCUAACAGCCGGGCAUUCAAUUUAUAAUUGCAAAAUUAUUUUAGAGGUGACGGAAAGUGCAACAGAAAAUAUACCGUCUUGAUAAAAUAAUUUUAUUGAGAUAAGGGUGAAAUGGUGAGGUAAGAGCUCACCGCACAAUGAGUAAUCAUUUGUGGCAGUGCAAACCCCAUACCGAGCAACGCCAUGCAGAAUCUGAGAAAGCUAAAUAGCUUAAAGAGUUUCGUUUCUUUCUCUUUUUAAAUUAAUUGAAACGGAUUCGGGUAGGCGGCAAAGAACUUGAUAAGCAAUUAUCAGUCAAGAUAAAUGACUGCCUCCAUUAAGAAAUUAAUGAAGACAGAAUUCGGCGUAUAGAUGCGCUUCGGGG
RNAcentral lists this RNase P RNA (451 nucleotides) under Chlorobiota bacterium. Its description in RNAcentral is "Chlorobi bacterium RNase P RNA component class A". It matches the Rfam family "Bacterial RNase P class A". From Rfam's summary of the family: Ribonuclease P (RNase P) is a ubiquitous endoribonuclease, found in archaea, bacteria and eukarya as well as chloroplasts and mitochondria. Its best characterised activity is the generation of mature 5'-ends of tRNAs by cleaving the 5'-leader elements of precursor-tRNAs. The record is from RNAcentral. Lineage: Bacteria; Pseudomonadati; Chlorobiota.